RNAcentral lists this long non-coding RNA (208 nucleotides) under Elaeis guineensis (African oil palm). Its description in RNAcentral is "long non-coding RNA (EGUI_LNC018451)". Lineage: Eukaryota; Viridiplantae; Streptophyta; Magnoliopsida; Arecales; Arecaceae. The record is from RNAcentral.
GGGCAUGCCAUGAGAUUUUAUCGAGAGAAAAAGAGAGUUGGGGCAUGUGCUAGGUUGUGGGCAACUUCAUCUGGUGUGGAGAAAUCCUAGGGCUUCUAGGUUGGGCGUUGGGAUCAUAAGGAAGAGAGAAAGUAUUCUCUAGUUCCUAUUUAUCUACCUCAUCUUCCUCCACUUCUCUUUCAUCUCUAGAGUGUUUGUGAGAUCUGAA